This 206-nucleotide ribosomal RNA is filed under the name uncultured bacterium. RNAcentral's name for it is "partial 16S ribosomal RNA". It matches the Rfam family "Bacterial small subunit ribosomal RNA", at positions 568 to 774 of the family's 1533-position model. The record is from RNAcentral.
UUCGUAGGUGGCCAACUAAGUCAGACGUGAAAUCCCUCAGCUCAACUGGGGAACUGCGUCUGAUACUGGUUGGCUUGAGUGCAGGAGAGGAACGCGGAAUUCCAGGUGUAGCGGUGAAAUGCGUAGAUAUCUGGAGGAACACCGGUGGCGAAGGCGGCGUUCUGGACUGCAACUGACACUGAGGAACGAAAGCCAGGGAGCAAACG